GUGGACAGAUUGCUUCAACUAUCUGCAAUCUGAAAACACUAACAGCUUUGGACUUAGGAAGUAACAAUUUGGAGGGAACAAUCCCACAAUGUUUGGUUGAGAUGAAUGAAUACCUUUGGAAUUUGGAUUUGAGCAACAACAGUCUUAGUGGGACUAUCAAUACAAAUUUUAGUGUUGGAAACGAUCUCACGAUCAUUAGCUUGCAUGGGAAUAAGCUAACGGGGAAAGUCCCACGAUCUUUGAUCAAUUGCAAGUACUUGACACUUCUUGAUCUAGGUAACAAUCAGUUGAAUGACACAUUUCCAAACUGGUUGGGACACCUACCUGAUUUGAAGAUUUUAAGCUUGAGAUCAAAUAAGUUUCAUGGUCCCAUUAAAUCUUCAGGGAAUACAAACUUGUUUGCGCGGCUUCAAAUUCUGGAUCUAUCAUCCAAUGGAUUUAGUGGUAAUUUACCAAUAAGUCUUUUUGGGAAUUUGCAAGCCAUGAAGAAAUUGAUGAGCGUACAAGAACCCCAGAGUAUGUUUCUGAUCAAUAUGCUGGUUAUUAUGAUUAUUUGAUGACAAUUACAACAAAGGGGCAAGAGUAUGAUUGUGUUCAAAUUUUGGAUUCUAACAUGAUUAUCGAUCUCUCAAAGAACCGAUUUGAAGGUCAUAUUCCAAGCAUUAUUGGAGAUCUCGUUGAACUUCGUACCUUGAACUUAUCUCAUAAUGUCUUGGAAGGUCAUAUACCAGCAUCAUUGCAAAAUUUAUCUGUACUCGAAUCAUUGGAUCUCUCAUCUAACAAAAUCAGCGGAGGAAUUCCACCACAACUUGCAUCCCUCACGUUUCUUGCAGUCUUAAAUCUCUCUCACAAUCAUCUUGUUGGAUGCAUCCCCAAAGGAAAACAAUUUGAUACGUUUGAGAAUAGCUCAUACCAAGGGAAUGAUGGGUUAUGUGGACUGCCAUUCUCAAAACAUUGUGGUGGUGAUGGUAGGGUACCACAAGCGACAAUUCCAGCUGAGCAAGAUCAAGAAGAAGAAGAAGAUUCACCAAUGAUCAGUUGGCAGGCGGUUCUCAUGGGUUACGGUUGUGGUCUAGUUAUUGGACUGUCUAUAAUAUACAUAAUGUUGUCAACUCAAUAUCCAACAUGGUUUUCGAGGAUGGUAUUGAAAUUGGAACACAGAAUGAUUACGAGAAUGAAAAGGCACAAGAAAAGAUAUUAGUGAGUAGCGACCUCCAGGUAUAUAACUUGAUCUAUUUUAUUUUAUUUCUAUUUUUUUUUACCCUCCGUAGGAGCUCCCACCCCUUUUGCUCCCUUGGUGACUCGAACUCGCAACCUUCGGGUUGGAAGUGAGAGGUGCUUACCAUCCGAGCAACUCCCUCUCGUCAUUCAACUUGAUCAUUAUCCUUCAGAAGAUUAUUUUUUAUAUAUCGAUGUAAUUUCUACCUACUUCAUCCUUUAAGCUCUUAACUUUAAUUCUUCAUUUUUGAAAAUUGCAGGAUUCAAGUCUACUGAAUUGCUGGGAUGCAAUAAGACGAGUUUUUGUUUACCAAUAGUCUGUUAUAUAGUAUGUAGUAAUUUAUUCAGCCUGAUUAUUAGUUAGCUACUUCAUUUCGACUGCAAUGUUCAGUUCAUAAAUUUAUGAAGUUAUCUUAUCUUUUUGUUUUAAUUACAUCAAUAAUUUCAAUAGCAAGCUAAACGUGUACACCUUUUAAGACUCUCCUAAAAAUUGGCUUAAAUAUCCUUAUGGUGUUAAAGAUUGCUCUAAAGUCACCACUCCUUGUUAGUCGAAAAUCACACUUGUCUAAUUUCAAAUGUUUAUAUGUAAAAAGAAUCGAAGAUAUGCCUUUUUUUCUCAACUUUGAUCUGUAGAGGUAUUGAUCUUGUCGCCUCUGCUCUCUGUGCGUUCCUAUUUCUUAAUAAAUCUCUGUGACAUUAGAUACAGGCCUUGUACACCAUACCUUGUAGGAAGACAAUAACGGAUUAGUUCAAGGAGUACUAAAAGUUCUGUUAAAGAAAAUGCUUAAAAACUACAUAUGACAUCUUGUAUUAUAAAGAGAAUGCAAGCUUGAGUCUACUUCAAAUGAUCAUAAUAUAUCGGAUACUCAUUAAAUGAGCAUUCUCAAUAACAGAGCUUGGAUCAAAUCUAUAUUAUGUGCACAGAAUUAUGAAGCAUGAAUACUAGUUCACCUCAACUUUUUCCUUUUCUUUUUGCUAAGAAAAGGCAUUUUGUUGGGUUAUACACAUUUACAAGGGUGAAAAAGAUGCCACAAUUUACACCAUCCUGUAUCAAACAGUCCAGAAUCGAGACGAAGAUAACUAGCUUUAUAAAAAAUUAUUGAUAAAAAUUAUUGAUCUAGGAAAAAGAUGCAUUCUUGAGCUUAUGCUCGAAACUAAUUAAGGGAUAAUUCUCAAAGGAGUACGAAAAGUUCUGUUAUAGGAAGUUUCGUUCAUAACGUUCAAGAAUUUGAAUUACUCUGUGGGAGUAUCAAUUUGGAGGGAACAAUCCCACAAUGCCUGGGUGAGAUGAAUGAAUACCUUUGGAAUUUGGAUUUGAGCAACAACAGUCUUAGUGGGACAAUCAAUAUAAAUUUUAGUAUUGGAAACUCUUUCAGGGUCAUUAGCUUGCACGGGAAUAAGCUAACAGGGAAAGUCCCACCAUCUUUGAUCAAUUGCAAGUAUUUGACACUUCUUGAUCUAGGUAACAAUAAGUUGAAUGACACAUUUCCAAACUGGUUGGGAAACCUACCUGAUUUGCAGAUUUUAAGCUUGAGAUCAAAUAAGUUUCACGGUCCCAUUAAAUCUUCAGGGAAUACAAACUUGUUUGCGCAGCUUCAAAUUCUGGAUCUAUCAUCCAAUGGAUUUAGUGGUAAUUUACCAAUAAGUCUUUCUGGGAAUUUGCAAGCCAUGAAGAAAAUUGACGAGAGUACAAGAACCCCAGAGUAUGUUUCUGAUCAAUUUGCUGGUUAUUAUGAUUAUUUGAUGACAAUUACAACAAAGGGACAAGAUUAUGAUUGUGUUCAAAUUUUGGAUCCUAACAUGAUUAUCGAUCUCUCAAAGAACAGAUUUGAAGGUCUUAUUCCAAGCAUUAUUGGAGAUCUUGUUGGACUUUGUACCUUGAACUUAUCUCAUAAUGUCUUGGAAGGUCAUAUACCAGCUUCAUUGCAAAAUUUAUCAGUACUCGAAUCAUUGGAUCUCUCAUCUAACAAAAUCAGCGGAGAAAUUCCACAACAGCUUGCAUCCCUCACAUUCCUUGCAGUUUUAAAUCUCUCUCACAAUCAUCUUGUUGGAUGCAUCCCCAAAGGAAACCAAUUUGAUACGUUUGAGAACAGUUCGUACCAAGGGAAUGAUGGAUUAUGAGGAUUGCCACCCUCAAGAGACUGUGGCCGUGAUGAUAGGGUACCACAAGAGACAAUUCUAGUUGAGCUAGAUCAAGAAGAAGUAGAUGAUUCACCAAUGAUCAGUUGGCAGAAGGUUCUCAUGGGUUACGGUUGUGGUCUAGUUAUUGGAUUGUCUGUAAUAUACAUAAUGUGGUCAACUCAAUAUCCAGCAUGGUUUUCGAGGAUGGAUUUAAAAUUGGAACACAAAAUUACUACGAGAAUGAAAAGGCACAAAAAAAAGAUAUUAGUGUGUAGCGACCUUCAGGUAUUCAACUUGAUCUUUAUCUUUCUUAAGAUUAUUUUUUAUAUAUCAAUGUAUUUUCGACCUCCUUCAUCCUCAAAGCUCUUACCUUUAAUUCUUCAUUUUUGAAAAUUGCAGGAUUCAUGUCUACAAAGUUUCUGAAGAUUAAGAUAAAAAGCCUCUAUCUUUCAUUUGUCUAUGGCAUGUAGAAAUAAAUUCGACUGAUAAAUAGAAGUCGGACAUAAAGUUGAAUCUUUGGAUCAAUCAGAUGAUAUGUGUCAUCACUAAAAACGUAGUAUUUCACUCAACUCUUUCACAUAACAUCAUAACACAAACAUAGAACACUCGAAUUUAAGUUCAAAAACAUAAAAAUCUGAAGUUACCGAGUUCGGAAUAUUUUUUUUCAGAUUCAUGAUGGUCCUUCAUCAAAAGAUCAAAGAAACAUUACCAGGGACCAAAGUUACAGUUUUCUAUCUUUAACUCUUUUCAUUGAAGCAGCAGCAAAAAGAUUUGCAUUAUUCUCUACUCCCUGAGCCUCACAUAGACAACAUCACGUGUUUUCAACUGGAAUCUGCAUUCUUUGAAGAGUUGGAGAAAGAGCCUUCAACUCUUCCCAUCUAAGUCUCUGAUGACAGAGUUACCCGAUAUCUCUAUUGGUGGAAGGUAGACGGUACCGGUUGAAUUAAUCGAAUAGACUCAAGUUGACCUGAGCAUCACUGUUAUACAACAACAAACUAUGCCUCAGCCCCAAACAAAAACUUGCAUAGAGACCUGCAAUAAUGUUCGAAGCCCAAAAUAAGAUAGACAUAAACACACAAUUGAGUGAUAUAAUUUCUAGUGAUCGAAAUCCAUAUGGAUUUCAAACAUCAUUUAGGAAGAAAUCAAGCAGAAGCGCUUGACUAUAGGUGAGGUUUAUCGUGAUCAACUAUUGUUCAGAUUCAUUAAUUAGCAAACUGCUCCACAAUUUCAAAGUUUCGGGGCAAAGAAAAAGAUUCAUAAAAACAAAAGGGAAUACCUCGCCAAACAGACUUAGGAACCAGGUUUGUCAAGAUAUCACUGCAGCUUUCUUUACGCUGUGCUUUAAUCUCUGUGCAAAAUCCAUAUGCAGGAUCCUUUUAACUGAUUUUGAUGAGUCGAGAUUUCACAAAAAUGUAUCUGUCAAACUAUGACUUAGCUGAUGCGGCAGUUAUCAGCUCCACUAAAUAUACUUGUGGGCUGAAACCUUGUGUAUUCCAGCAUCUAACAUUGCUUUUCUCAAGGCAGCAGCAUAAUCCCACCUCUCUGCGCCAGCACAAAUGAUUCGGUUGCGACUCAAGCAGUAGUUGUGAUACUUCAUAUCCCAAUUCAAUAGCUCCAUGAAGUCUACAAGCACCCAUCAGAGCCCCCAAGACAGUAAAGGCAUCAGCUUCAAACAAGAUAAUGUUCCAUCUUAGCUACAAGUCAAAAUUCAUGAGACAUCGCUUCAAACAAUUUAAAACUGAAAUCGACAAGCUUGGCAUACACACAAUUAAGCUGAUAGAACAGACACAAAAGUAAUCUCAUUUGGUUGCAGCCCCUUUGCCCUCAUCUUCUCAUACAUCGUUAAUGCCUACUUCUCUCUUCUAAGAAAAGGGUUGUAGAUUAUUUGUGAUACAUUAAUUUCUAUUCGACCUCCUUUAUGAUGCAAAUAACAUUAAUGAAAGGCAUAAAACAGUACUAAAUUAAGACAGGGAGAUUUGAUAUAUAGUUUAGAGAAUAUUUGGGCCUCUUGAAGUGUAACAGCCCAAAGCACAAAACAUUGAAGACCCAAACCAGCAAAACAAAAGAAAAUCAGAAUCAGACAUAAAGUUGAAUCUUUAGAUCAUUCAAUCAGACGAUAUGUGCCAUCACUAAAAACAUUGUAUUUCACUCAACUCUUACACAUAACACAAACAUACAACACUCGACUUUAAGUUCAGGAACAUAAAAAUCUGUAGUUACAGAGUUUGAAGAUAUUUUUCUACCGACUCAUGAUGGUCCUUCAUCAAAAAAUGGAAGAAACAUCAGGAAAACACAGAAAAUCUAGUAUCCAACACGGCUUCAGAAGGAGAAUCUUCUGUUACUAUCAUCAAUGAAUUCAGUAUUACAAACUUCAGGCCUUAAGAACUGAAAUACAGGUGCUCGGAAAAUUGAUUUAGGCUGUAUAUGGAUGAUAUACAGCGGAAAGGGACGACAUAGGGUUCAUAUACAGUAGUAAUAUACGCUUGGUAUAUAUUCAGGUUUUCAAGGGUAAAAAUAGGGCCAAUGCCCAAACACAACCUGCAGCAGGCCCAAGAAGGGCCCAAAUUCAAUUUCUCCUUCACUCUUAACCUAUUUAACUGUGAUUAUUUACUGUUAGCUUUUUAUUAACUCUAACUUUAAAUAACUUAAUUAAAUACCCAAAAGAUGAACUAUAUUAUUUCUGUUAGUUUAUUUUAAUAUAAUUCAUUUUUUAUCAACUUUCAUACUUUUAUUGAAUAUAUUUAGUCAAAACUUUUUAUUUAUUCUUCAAUUAAUUUAAAAUCGUUUUCAUACUUUUAGUUAAUCAAAUCGGUUUAAAUUAUUAUUUUAAAAUGAUUCAAAUAAAUUUUAAUUAAUCUAGUUUUGUUAAAAUACUAAUCACUUGUAAUUAAAUUCAAAUAUUUUAAUUAAGGUCCCCCUUUCUAAAAAAAAUCAAAAAUUGUUCUUUGUUUAACUAUUUUUUUCAAGUUAAUAUUAAAAGUCAUUUUCAUAAUCACUUCCCAAAAAAUAGUCAAAAAAAUAUUUUAACCAAGUUGUAGGAUAACCGCGUGUUAGCGGAUGCUUCAAAUGCCUUAAAAACCUUCUUGAAGCGUAAAUAAGAACCUCUUACCCAUUUUCUCUAAAUUUUUAAAGACUUAAUCUGUUAGAGUCUUUUUAAAUUAUAAGUUUUUUUGUAAUUUCUCUAAAAAAUAAAGUAGCGACUCUUUUCUAAGUAUUUUUCUCAAAUUGUCUUAUACUUAAAGCAUUUCAAAAGUAAUUUUUCUAAAGAUAGUCAAAUUACAAUAUAUAUAACAUUUAGAUCAUUCGAUCAGAUGAUAUUUGUCAUCACUAAAAACAUUGUAUUCACUCAACUCGUUCACAUGACAUCAUAAUAAAAACAUAGAGCACUCGACUUUAUGUUCAGAAACAUAAAUUUGUAGUUACAGAGUUCGAAAAUAUUUUUUACAGACUCAUCGAAAGAUCAAAGAAACAUCAGGAAACCAUGGACCAAAGUUGAAGUCUUCUAUCUUUAACUAUUUUCAUUGUAGCUUAUAUCAUAAAAAAAUUAACUCAAAGGAGAUUUGGACUCAACUUCAACUUCCUGUGUAUAAUAUUUCAAGAAUAGUAAAACAAGUUGAUAUCUAAAUUUACUUUGAAAUGGCCUUCAUACUUGGAACUAUUAAUUACUGCAGAACUUUAAUCACUCAUUAAUGUAUAAAACAUGUACCCUAUUGAGUUUUCUUAUUGGGAGAAACGGUAGUCUAUCAAUUAGUAAUGACUUUCCAAUUUUUUGGUAGUUUAUCAAUAAAUUAGUAAUGACUUUCCUACAUAAAUUAAAUGAAUACAUGGAUUCUUUAUUACCACAAAUUUUUUAAAAUAACAGUUUUUUUUUUUAAAGUAAGGAAAAAAUGGUCAAUUAAUUUUGUACAGGUAUUUCGUAAUCCAACUUGGCACUUUGAAGCUUCACAAUUUUAAUUGAGCUUUAUAUUUUCAUUGGAACGAACUUUAAUUCUUUAACAUGUGUAUCUUGAGGAGAAGAGAAAGGGAAAGUUCUGAGUGGGGUUAAGGGAACCAAAACAAAUACCUUUUAUGUGACAUUUUUGUCUAUAUAUAAUAAUGUAUCAGACAAAAUGCAUUUGUUAUAUACAAGCGGUGGGACUUUGUUACGUUGUUGCUUUCAUUUGAACAUAUUGAAUGUGCAUAUGUGAUUGUCAACUUCAAAUUGACUGAAAAUGCUUAAUUUAUGCUAAUCUCUAUCUCAUCAAAAUUAUUGAAUACACACACAGAGCAAAUAUCUUCUCUACCAACUUAAUUAGUUUUGAUCAUUUUUAGUGCGGAAAUGGGUUAUGUAAAACUUGUAUUUUUUAUGUUAUAUACCUUUCUCUGUCAACUUGGUAUCUCCUCAUCCUUACCUCAUUUAUGCCCCGAAGAUCAAGCUCUUGCUCUUCUACAAUUUAAGCACAUGUUUACCAUUAAUCCUAAUGCUUCUAAUUUUUGUCGUGAAAUAAUAACAGAUCAAGAGAUUCAGUCAUAUCCAAAAACCCUUUUAUGGAACAAGAGCACAGAUUGUUGCUCAUGGGACGGAGUUCAUUGUGACGAGAUGACGGGACAAGUAAUUGAGCUUGAUCUCAGUUACAGCACACUUCAAGGCAAGUUUCAUUCCAAUAGUAGCCUCUUUCAAUUAUCCAAUCUCAAAAGGCUUGAUUUGUCAUGUAAUAAUUUCACCGGAUCGCUCAUUUCACCUAAAUUUGGUGAGUUCUCUAGCUUGACGCAUCUUGAUUUGUCAGGUACAGGUUUUACAGGUCUAAUGCCAACAGAAAUCUCUCACCUUUCUAAAUUACACGUUCUUCGAUUCAGUGGUCUAUAUGACCUUAGUCUUGGGCGUCACAAUUUUGAACUGCUCCUUAAAAACUUGACCCAAUUAAGAGAGCUCAACCUUGACUAUGUAAACAUCUCUUCCACAAUUCCUCAGAAUUUCUCUUCUUAUUUAAAAAAUCUACGGCUUCCAUACACAGAUUUAUGUGGGGUAUUGCCCAAAAGAGUUUUCCACCUUUCCGAUUUAGAAUUCCUUGAUUUAUCAUCCAAUUCUCAGCUCACUGUUAGGCUUCCCACAACCAAAUGGAAUAGCACUGCAUCACUCAUGUACUUACGUCUCUAUGACGUGAAUAUUACUGAUAGGAUACCUGAAUCAUUUAGCCAUCUAACUUCAUUGCUUGUAUUGGACAUGAGUGAUUGUAAUCUGUCAGGGUCUAUUACUAAACCUCUAUGGAAUCUCACCAACAUAGAGUUGUUGGACCUUGGUAAUAACCAUCUUAAAGGAUCAAUUUCCCGGUUAUCGAGAUUUGGAAAGCUCAAGGACUUAUCACUUAGAAAUAACAACUUUGAUGGCCAACUUGAGUUCUUAUCCUGUAACAGAAGUUGGACCCAACUUAAAUGGCUAGAUUUUACAUCCAAUUUCCUAACUGGUCCAAUUCCAUCCAACGUAAGUGGACUACAAAAUCUACAAUCACUCUACUUGUCAUCAAACAACUUGAAUGGGACUAUACCUUCCUGGAUAUUCUCCCUUCCUUCACUGUCAGAGUUAGAGUUGAACAAUAACACUUUCAGUGGAAAAAUUCAGGAGUUCAAGUCCAAAACAUUGUCUCAAGUUGAUCUAAAACAAAAUCAACUAGAAGGUCCUUUACCAAAUUCACUCCUAAACCAGCCACUCCUAACAUAUCUUCUCCUUUCACACAAUAAUAUCAGUGGACAGAUUGCUUCAACUAUCUGCAAUCUGAAAGAAUUGACUGUGCUAAAUUUGAGAAAUAAUAAUUUGGAGGGAACAAUCCCACAAUGCCUGGGUGAGAUGAAUGAAUACCUUUGGAAUUUGGAUUUGAGCAACAACAGUCUUAGUGGGACAAUCAAUAUAAAUUUUAGUAUUGGAAACUCUUUCAGGGUCAUUAGCUUGCACGGGAAUAAGCUAACAGGGAAAGUCCCACCAUCUUUGAUCAAUUGCAAGUAUUUGACACUUCUUGAUAUAGGUAACAAUCAGUUGAAUGACACAUUUCCAAACUGUUGGAAACCUACCUGAUUUGCAGAUUUUAAGCUUGAGAUCAAAUAAGUUUCACGGCCCCAUUAAAUCUUCAGGGAAUACAAACUUGUUUGCGCAGCUUCAAAUUCUGGAUCUAUCAUCCAAUGGAUUUAGUGGUAAUUUACCAAUUAGUCUUUUUGGGAAUUUGCAAGCCAUGAAGAAAAUUGACGAGAGUACAAGAACCCCAGAGUAUGUUUCUGAUCAAUUUGCUGGUUAUUAUGAAUAUUUGACCACAAUUACAACAAAGGGACAGGAUUAUGAUUCUGUUCGAAUUUUGGAUUCUAACAUGAUUAUCAAUCUCUCAAAGAACAGAUUUGAAGGUCAUAUUCCUAACAUUAUUGGAGAUCUCGUUGGACUUCGUACCUUGAACUUAUCUCAUAAUGUCUUGGAAGGUCAUAUACCAGCAUCAUUGCAAAAUUUAUCUGUACUCGAAUCAUUGGAUUUCUCAUCUAACAAAAUCAGCGGAGGAAUUCCACCACAACUUGCAUCCCUCACAUUUCUUGCAGUCUUAAAUCUCUCUCACAAUCAUCUUGUUGGAUGCAUCCCCAAAGGAAAACAAUUUGAUACGUUUGAGAACACUUCCUACCAAGGGAAUGAUGGGUUACGUGGAUUGCCACUCUCAAAACACUGUGGCGGUGAUGAUAGGGUACCACAAGCAAUAACUCCAUCAGAGCUAGAUCAAGAAGAAGAAGAAGAUUCACCAAUGAUCAGUUGGCAAGCGGUUCUCAUGGGUUACGGUUGUGGACUUGUUAUUGGACUGUCCGUAAUAUACAUAAUGUUGUCAACUCAAUAUCCAACAUGGUUUUCGAGGUUGGUUGUGCAAUUGGAACACAGAAUUACUACGAGAAUGAAAAGGCACGAGAAAAGAUAUUAGUGAGUAGCUAC
This 10273-nucleotide long non-coding RNA is filed under the name Solanum tuberosum (potato). RNAcentral describes it as "long non-coding RNA (STUB_LNC001200)". The record is from RNAcentral. Lineage: Eukaryota; Viridiplantae; Streptophyta; Magnoliopsida; Solanales; Solanaceae.